This 65-nucleotide transfer RNA is filed under the name Liogluta microptera. RNAcentral describes it as "tRNA-Ile". The record is from RNAcentral. Lineage: Eukaryota; Metazoa; Arthropoda; Insecta; Coleoptera; Staphylinidae.
AACAGAAUGCCUGAUUAAAGGGUUAUUUUGAUAGAAUAAAUUAUGUAAUUUUAUUACUUCUGUUA